RNAcentral lists this long non-coding RNA (335 nucleotides) under Astyanax mexicanus (Mexican tetra). RNAcentral's name for it is "lncRNA (ENSAMXG00005007025.1)". The record is from RNAcentral. Lineage: Eukaryota; Metazoa; Chordata; Actinopteri; Characiformes; Acestrorhamphidae.
UAAAAAUAUGAAAAAUUAUUAUAAGGCAUACUAUCAAUAAACACCUUUUUUCUUGUCUAUUUUCAUACAUAAGGCGCACUGGAUUAUAAGGCGCAUUAUGCGACACUAGUAGUAGUAAAGUCAAACGAGCGCUGGAUGUUAAUCUACACAGAUUUUUUUCCUGGGUGAGUUUAUUGGCUUCACUAAAGUUACACAGUGCAGAAAUCAGAAAGCUGAGCCUGAAGUAACAAUGAUUGCGACACUACUCUCCCUAUUACAGAGGCUCAGGUCUGGAGAAGCGGAGCAGAAUGAAGAAUCCUAUUGAUUGCUGAAUCCCGAUUUUACAGCAGGGCGGA